GUGGACGUGAUACCUACCCAGAAAGCUGUAAGCAGCAGAGCCGGUGAGAAUUACUCGAAGUCUCAGCAACAGUGCCUUUGUGUUCUAGCGGCCACCUGUGGAGAGAGAGCAGAACGAGAGUGAAUCAUUGAAGAGCCACCUGUGAACGUGAUACCUACCCAGAAAGCUGUAAACAGCGGAGCCGCGGCCACCUGUGGAGAGAGCAGAACGAGAGUGAACCACUGAAGAGCAAACUGUGAACGUGAUACUUACCCAGGGAGCUGUAAGCAGCAGAACCGCAGUGACUAUCUGUGGGGCAUAAGGAGAACGUGGACGGACGUACGACAGGGAACGUAAAGGCACGUGGGGCGAGGACCCCCUGCCGGCCCGAGGAAAGGUACACCGACAGUGGAGAUCUUCCUUACCAGUCACACCAAAACUAUUCUGCCUCCAGGACGGAAGAAGGAGGGCGCCACGGUUAGCAGGGCCCAGGCCGGAGCCUGACGUUUCCCUCUUCCCCCAGCUUAUGGUGGUUGGCACCCUUGCUGCCCUUGGCCUGUCUGCCGUGGCUGCAGUCUCCCUGGAGGGAGAAGAGGCCUAUUAGUUUUAAUUUCCCCUUUCCCCAAAUUCCCCAUUCUUUUAAAUAUUUAACUAAAUAAAGCUUGUUUUAAAUUUUA
Molecule: non-coding RNA, 656 nt
Organism: Paramisgurnus dabryanus
Lineage: Eukaryota; Metazoa; Chordata; Actinopteri; Cypriniformes; Cobitidae
Source: RefSeq, a predicted model, not a curated record